Long non-coding RNA from Polistes dominula (European paper wasp), 1845 nucleotides. The record is from RefSeq and is a predicted model, not a curated record. Lineage: Eukaryota; Metazoa; Arthropoda; Insecta; Hymenoptera; Vespidae.
AGAUUGGAACUUAAAUAGUAGCAACUAUUUAUUCACAACCGAUACAAAAGAGUUACAUGUAUUCUUCUGUAACUGUCCUUUAAAGUAGUCACCAGCAUUGUGUAGAACCCUUUAGCAGAGCUUGUUCUGUUGAAGGUGCGAAUGGAGCGGUCUACUGCCCAUGUCUCAUCCAGUGUUACGAUAUGGCAUAAGGAAGCCUCUCAUUCGCGCUCAUAGUAUUCCAAGUGCGUCUGAGCAGCGUCGUAACGCAUCCAUUUCUGCAUUUUCGUCAAUUCAUGCGGAACCCAUCGUGGCAUUCGCUUCAGAACUGUUCCAGAGGUUCGACAGGCAGUAAACCGCUCCAUUCGCACCAUCAACAGAACAGGCUCUGCUAACGGGUUCUACACAACGUUGGUGACUACUUUGAAGGACAGUAACAGAAAUGCGGAAUUACAUAGAAAUACCCAUUGAAAUAUUUUACUAUUCUUACAAUUUAAUGACAAGAUGGUCUUCCGGUACAAUAAUGUUUGCGUAGCCUAAAGUUCAACUCACAGAGCAAUGUGAAAAAGAUUAAAAAAGAAAAAUUGAUAAAUUAUAAUCCUAAGCUUAACAAAUACAUCGUUUUCUGCAAGUGCAAUGUCACGAGUUUAAACAUAUUCAAGAAAGAGAAAAUAUAUUCAUAUUAUGUAGUUGAUAACAUUUAAGGCGAUAUGAUGAUAUGUGCUAUUUCUAAUAUAAUAAAUUUUAAUAAUGCAUAUUUUACUGUCAUAUGCGACAUUAAAAAACGUUGUACGAAUGAAUGUGAUGCUGUUUUUUUUUUUAGAGUUGAUAUAGCUUCGUUUUAUGUUUCUCUUUGUGAUUUGAAUUUGUAUUGAAAUCACAGAGAUGAUUCCAAAAAUUUUCUAAAUAAUUAUAUUUGUAUUACAAAGUAGAGCUAUAUAGAAUGCAGUUAAAUAAUGAAAAUAUUAAAACUUGUAGAAGUUUCUUGUUUCAAAAACUUUACAUUUCAAAAUAAAAUAAUCAAUAUAUAUAUAUAUAUAUAUAUAAAUAUAUAUAUUUAAUCAUUUUUGCAUAAUAACAGAGUUAAUAUUGACUUUCAACAAUAUCUUAACAGAGUUUGUUUUUUAAUUGAUAACGCGUUUUUAUUUUAUUUACAUAUGAAAAAAAAAAAAAAAAAUAACAAGAAUUUUGUACGUAUGAAUUAAUUGAUGAAAUAGUAGCUAACGUGUAUACAACACUUCACUUGUGCAACUGAUCUUUUCAAUUGACUAAAUUGUUAACGUUCUGAUUGUCAAUUCUAUUUUUCUAGCCCAAACUUCAAAAUACAUUUUUGUGUAAUUAUUUCUAAAAUAAGAAGUUUUUUCAAUGUAUUGCAUAACAAAUGCUUAUUAAAUUAAUAAUUUGUCAUGUAAUCUAUGUACAACAGAAAUGUUCAAAAUUGGUAUACAUAGGGCCUAUUGCCCUAAUCUUCAUUCAUUUUGUUCUUUCUCUAACAUAAAUGAAUUCUUACUUUCACCAUAUUCAGCACUUUCCUAAGUUUGUUUUUGCUAUUGUUAUAUUAUAACAAUUACUGUAUUUACUGUUUAAUAUAGAUUGCGAAUUAUGAUAUUUAAAAAUGAUUAAGAAGUAAGAAUAUUUGAAUGUGGGUGGGUGUGAGGGGUUGAGGGCAACAAUGAGCAACAUUAUUUCUCCUUCAAGUAAAACUUACAAUUAGUACAUCUCUAAUGUGUACAAUAUUGGUUAAAUUUAUGUAAAUAUUAUUAAUACAGUAUAUUAUUGAACGUAUGAACCUGCUAUUCAAAGAAAUUAUAGCGAAUAAUGGAUUGAAAAUAUUUUUAAAUGCAAGUAAUUGGGGAAAAAAAAAAA